CAGUCGCCGCGGUAAUACGGAGGGUGCAAGCGUUAAUCGGAAUUACUGGGCGUAAAGCGCACGCAGGCGGUCUGUCAAGUCAGAUGUGAAAUCCCCGGGCUUAACCUGGGAACUGCAUUUGAAACUGGCAGGCUAGAGUCUUGUAGAGGGGGGUAGAAUUCCAGGUGUAGCGGUGAAAUGCGUAGAGAUCUGGAGGAAUACCGGUGGCGAAGGCGGCCCCCUGGACAAAGACUGACGCUCAGGUGCGAAAGCGUGGGGAGCAAACAGGAUUAGAUACCCGAGUAGUCCCUGUCUCUUAUAU
Molecule: ribosomal RNA, 301 nt
Filed under: uncultured bacterium
Lineage: Bacteria
Description: partial 16S ribosomal RNA
Rfam family: Bacterial small subunit ribosomal RNA
Source: RNAcentral